CCUACGGGUGGCAGCAGUGAGGAAUAUUGGUCAAUGGACGAAAGUCUGAACCAGCCAAGUAGCGUGAAGGAUGACUGCCCUAUGGAUUGUAAACUUCUUUUAUAUGGGAAUAAAAUGUUCCACGUGUGGGAUUUUGUAUGUACCCUAUGAAUACGGAUCGGCUAACUCCGUGCCAGCAGCCGCGGUAAUACGGAGGAUCCGAGCGUUGUCCGGAUUUAUUGGGUUUAAAGGGAGCGUAGGUGGAUUGUUAAGUCAGUUGUGAAAGUUUGCGGCUCAACCGUAAAAUUGCAGUUGAAACUGGGAGUCUUGAGUACAGGAGAGGUGGGCGGAAUUCGUGGUGUAGCGGUGAAAUGCUUAGAUAUCACGAAGAACUCUGAUUGCGAAGGCAGUUCACUGGACUGCAACUGACACUGAGGCACGAAGGUGUGGGUAUCAAAAAGGAUUAGAUACCCGAGUAGUC
RNAcentral lists this ribosomal RNA (460 nucleotides) under uncultured bacterium. Its description in RNAcentral is "partial 16S ribosomal RNA". It matches the Rfam family "Bacterial small subunit ribosomal RNA", at positions 338 to 795 of the family's 1533-position model. The record is from RNAcentral.